Molecule: long non-coding RNA, 1275 nt
Filed under: Equus caballus (horse)
Lineage: Eukaryota; Metazoa; Chordata; Mammalia; Perissodactyla; Equidae
Description: lncRNA (ENSECAG00000046609.1)
Source: RNAcentral
AAACAGGGUAACUGUUGCCUGGGGUUACAUCAAUAAACUUCAGUAAAAUUGUGGUUCUGAUCACCAGGAGGACAAGGGAUGGGUGUUAGGUUGACACUUGCUCAGGUUCUCUAGAAGCAGAGCCAAAGAUGGAGAUUCUUGGGCCAGCCCUGACAGCUUGGGGGUUAAAGUUCAGCACGCUCUGCUUCAGUGGCCUGGGUUCAGUUCCCGGGUGUAGACCUACCACUUGUCUGUGAGUAGUUACUGGAGAAUCCGUGAAGAAGUGAAGGAAUCAGGAUGCGGCCAGCAACAUGUGAUUCCAUCAGAAGUCCAGCCUCCGCCUCAUUCUGAGGACCAUGUUCUCUGACACCCGUCCCAUCCAGAGGCAGGUCCCCACAGGGCGAAGCCCACAGAGAGGGGAGCUGCUCUGUAAAGUUCAUCCGUCUCCCCACAGUCUUCUUACCUCACAGGGCAGGGCUCAGGAUCCCGCAGGAGGUCCUGUGCCAGUCGCCAUGGUAACACACAGUCUCGGUCAGGCUUCCUACUGAUUAAACAGGCUACAGGGAUGUUCAAGAGAGUGCCCCAGAACAUACACAAGCAUCAGAGCGAGAAAGGACCCACCCAAUACUCUGAGGUUUGAAGGAAAACUAAGUUUGGGAUUUUCCUCCUUUCCUGACCUCUCAUUUCUAGUUUCCUCCCUUAAUUUUCAGCACAUGGCACCGAUGGUCCGUCGAAAACCAUGAGUUGAUGGUGGCAGUCCUUAUAUAGCCAAGUAUGCAUAAGCUUGGGGCUUGGUCCCACACAAAUGUCCACAAGGCUGUCAUCAUUUCAGAUAGUAACCAAGAAAUGGGACUGACCUGGCCCUUCAGAAAAAGUCAUACCUGGCCACCAUCUUUCUCAUUUCUAGCUGUUUAUGUCACUGAUCUCUCUCCAAGUCAUUCAGACUUUCUAAAUACCCAUCCAGCUCCCCUGUGCCACUCCCAUCCCCCAGGUCAUGUGUAAGGCCUUCUCCAAAUGUUCAGCACCUGCUCAGAUAAACUGCUAACCCACCCACAGUUACAACUGGCCUUUGACUUUGUUCUUUGCAUGAGCAGGUUAGCACAUCGCUGCAUCCUCUCUUCAACGCGUUAAGCAGACUUUGUAAACAAAGAUGGUCCCGAUUCCUAAUCCACACGAACAUCAGGGUGUAGUCUCAGCGGAAGACGGAUCCAAGUUCUCCUGUCUCUGGCCCUCGUUGGGCCUCCCACGCCCAUUUACAGAAUCAGUGACUUCGUCCAGCAGGGAGCAGUCCUGGAA